RNAcentral lists this ribosomal RNA (476 nucleotides) under uncultured Glomus. Its description in RNAcentral is "SSU rRNA". It matches the Rfam family "Eukaryotic small subunit ribosomal RNA", at positions 569 to 1048 of the family's 1831-position model. The record is from RNAcentral. Lineage: Eukaryota; Fungi; Glomeromycota; Glomeromycetes; Glomerales; Glomeraceae.
AGCAGCCGCGGUAAUUCCAGCUCCAAUAGCGUAUAUUAAAGUUGUUGCAGUUAAAAAGCUCGUAGUUGAAUUUCGAGAUCAGUACGCUGGUCGUGCCUUUGGUAUGCACUGGUGUCACUGGUUUCUCCCUUCUGAAGAACUGUCAUGCCAUUCAGUUGGUGUGGCGGGGAAUCAGGACUGUUACUUUGAAAAAUUAGAGUGUUUAAAGCAGGCUUGCGCUUGAAUACAUUAGCAUGGAAUAAUGAAAUAGGACGUUUGACCCUAUUUUGUUGGUUUCUAGGAUCGACGUAAUGAUUAAUAGGGAUAGUUGGGGGGCAUUAGUAUUCAAUUGUCAGAGGUGAAAUUCUUGGAUUUAUUGAAGACUAGCUACUGCGAAAGCAUUUGCCAAGGAUGUUUUCAUUAAUCAAGAGCGAAAGUUAGGGGGAUCGAAGACGAUCAGAUACCGUCGUAGUCUUAACCAUGAACUAUGCCGACUA